RNAcentral lists this ribosomal RNA (428 nucleotides) under uncultured archaeon. Its description in RNAcentral is "bacterial SSU rRNA". It matches the Rfam family "Archaeal small subunit ribosomal RNA", at positions 474 to 903 of the family's 1478-position model. The record is from RNAcentral.
UACCUGCAGCUCGAGUGGUAACCGCUAUUAUUGGGCCUAAAGCGUCCGUAGCCGGUUUGGUAAAUAUCUGGGUAAAUCGUGAGGCUUAACUUCACGAAUUUCGGAUAGACUGCCAGACUUGGGAUCGGGGGAGGUCAGAGGUACUCCAGGGGUAGCGGUGAAAUGUUGUAAUCCUUGGAGGACCACCGGUAGCGAAGGCGUCUGACUAGAACGAGUCCGACGGUGAGGGACGAAGCCCUGGGGCGCAAACCAGAUUAGAUACCCGGGUAGUCCAGGGUGUAAACGAUGUGGGCUUUGUAUUGGAGGUCCCACGUGGGCGUCCAGUGCAGAAGAGAAGUUGUUAAGCCCACCGCCUGGGAAGUACGGUCGCAAGGCUGAAACUUAAAGGAAUUGGCGGGGAGCACAGCAACGGGAGGAGCGUGCGGUUU